This 440-nucleotide ribosomal RNA is filed under the name uncultured bacterium. RNAcentral's name for it is "partial 16S ribosomal RNA". It matches the Rfam family "Bacterial small subunit ribosomal RNA", at positions 338 to 795 of the family's 1533-position model. The record is from RNAcentral.
CCUACGGGUGGCAGCAGUGGGGAAUAUUGCACAAUGGGGGAAACCCUGAUGCAGCGACGCCGCGUGAGUGAAGAAGUAUUUCGGUAUGUAAAGCUCUAUCAGCAGGGAAGAAAAUGACGGUACCUGACUAAGAAGCCCCGGCUAACUACGUGCCAGCAGCCGCGGUAAGACGUAGGGGGCAAGCGUUAUCCGGAUUUACUGGGUGUCAAGGGAGCGUAGACGGCCAGACAAGUCAGAAGUGAAAGCCCAGGGAUCAACCCUGGGACUGCUUUUGAAACUGCCGGGCUGGAGUGCAGGAGAGGUAAGCGGAAUUCGUAGUGUAGCGGGGAAAUGCGUAGAUAUUAGGAGGAACACCAGUGGCGAAGGCGGCUUACUGGACUGUAACUGACGUUGAGGCUCGAAAGCGUGGGGAGCAAACAGGAUUAGAUACCCCUGUAGUC